UAGGCGGAAUGUUGCGUCAAGGAUGUCGACGCUUACCCUACGGCUACACGCUGCUAAGUCAGCCACGAAUGGUUCUACGCCGUUUAUUCGGUAAGACUCCAUGGAGGGUGUUAGACCCGUGUGAGCGUGUUCUGAAAGCUGUAUGGGCAUGUCGAUAUCUUGAGAGUCGCGUUGUUUGAACAUGCAGCGCUAAGCAGGUCGUAGACUCGAUCUAAGGCUAAAUAUAUCCACAGAACCGAUAGUGAACAAGUACCGUGAGGGAAAGUUGAAAAGCACUCCGUAACGGAGAGUCAAAAGACCGU
This 302-nucleotide ribosomal RNA is filed under the name Pseudoprotella phasma. Its description in RNAcentral is "eukaryotic LSU rRNA". It matches the Rfam family "Eukaryotic large subunit ribosomal RNA", at positions 135 to 400 of the family's 3401-position model. Lineage: Eukaryota; Metazoa; Arthropoda; Malacostraca; Amphipoda; Caprellidae. The record is from RNAcentral.